GCCUUGAGCCUUUGAUAACUAUGGUUGACACUUGAUCUGUCCCUCUUUGAAUAUAUAUUCUGGUGCUUCUUUCUUUUUCAUAGAUAUUGCAUCUUAUUUUAUUCAAAGAAAACUUGUUUUGGUGUUGAUGAUCCUUGGGUUCCAUUAGAGGUCUGCAUCCUUAGGCAAUAUUCAUUUGGGUGCUCAUCAUAUUGGUAUCAGAGUAUUAGAGAAUCAAAUCAAGUAAGUAUUUUUCAUUAUUUAUCUUCCUUUAGUUGAUUUUUCUGUUUGGUUUAAGCUUCUAAGACAUUCUGCCAAAGAAGACAUUUCUAGGAUUUUUGUUUUUCAUCAUCUUCCAUGCUUUUCUUGAGACUGAAACCCGUCUUGCCAUCCUUAGAGCAAUUGAUUUUUCAUUUCUGUUUCCAAUACUUGCCACCAAAAUCUUCAUCUAGGGCUUUAGAGAAAUUUCUUUAAAUCUAUCUUUGAUUUCAGUUUUGUCUUAGAGUGGUUUAAUCUAUAUUCCAACUUAUACCAUCUGUGCUAGCUAAUUUCUUUGAACUCUUGCAUAAUAUCAAGCAUGUUUAGCCUACUGCACUAAUUGUAAUUUAUGAGAGAUUGGUGAAUUGAUGACUGAAAUUGGGAAUUGACAUGAUUAGUAACUGAUAGGAAUGCAAUUUUGAUGAUAUAUCUACUGCCCCAUUGGAGUUUGUGGUGUUUGUGCUGGAAUUGUGAAUUAUUACCAUUGUUGAAUUGGGGGAAAUUAUAGAAACGUGGGGUUAAAGUUUUAAUUUGGUUUUGAAAUUUUACCAGCAUCAUUUGGGUAUAAAUAUUGUGAUUCAUACCAAAUUUGAGGUGAAAAUACCACUGUUUGCCUAUUGAACCACAUUUUGUGGAGAAAUUGGACUAUUUUUAGUUCACCCAUCAAACCAACUCAGAACUUGAUCAAAUUUUAUCAGAAUUCUACUUUCAUAUUAGGGAUAAUAUCUGGAAAUUUUCAACUUAAAAUUCCUUCAUUUGCAUGGUGAACCAAAGCUGGCCUCAAUUUGUGCUAUAUGGGUGCUUCUAGUGCAAUUGUUGGUAUUUUGGCUGUGAAAAAUUGGUUUUGUUGCUUGAUAUUAUCUUCUUAGGUUGUCAUAAUCUCAGUUUCAAAAUUUCAUUCCAUUUGCAUUUCGUUUGCCUCUACUUUGGUGUUUUCAUUUUCUUGCUUCUAGAGUCACAUUUUUACUUAUUGCUAUUUUCGUAUCUUCCUUGUCGUUCUUGAUCAUUUUGUUUAAAAUUCGUGAGUGUUUAAAUUGUCAUUGGUAUCUUAGUUCCAAGGGAACCAAGCAAGAAGAGGUGAGUGGUAAAAGGCUUGAGGGUGUGAGUGCAUUAGAGGGUAAAAGUCAUCUGUUUGUGUGAAACACCUAGAGAGGGUUAGCCAUUUCCUACUAACUUGUUUUCUUGCAGCUCAAAAUCAUGUCAAAUGAAACUAGUAGUAGCGGGGAGAGAGUCCCAUUUGAUGAAGCUAGGUAUAGGGAUGCUAUGGCUGCAUAAUUUGAGAGGUUGACCUUAGGUAUGAAUACAUUGAGGGAUGAUAUAAAUAGGAUUUUGGAGGAGAUGAGAAGGGAUAGGGAAGAGAGAGCAAGGGAUAGAAAUGAUGCUAGGGAUAGAAGGCAAGAAGAGAGAAAUGUAGGAGGACCAACAGUAGAGAACCUUGGGGGUAAAGUGUAUGAUGACGAGGAGUUUGAGGAAGAGAUAUAAGAUGAAUUUGAAUAUGGAAACUAUAACUAUGGUGGUAGGGGUUAUAGACCGCCUAGGAGUAGGGGAGCUAGAGGUAGAAGAGGAGGUAGGUUACCUAGAUUUGGGGAGAAUAGAUAUAGUGAUUAUGGGUAUGGGGGCCAAGAGAAAAGGGCAAACACUAAUGUGGGCAGUAUUAAGAUGAAAAUUCCUCCCUUUCAUGGGAAAGAGAAUCCGGAUGCCUAUAUGGAGUGAGAAAGGCAAGUUGAGAUAAUUUUUUAAUGUCAUAACUAUAGUGAGGAAAAGAAAGUGAAGCUUGCAGCCGUAGAGUUUAAGGAGUAUACUAUAGUGUGUUGGGACCAAUUGAUGGUUAGGAAAAGGACUUUAGGUCUUAGACCCAUUGCUUCUUGGGAGGCUAUGGGAGAAGCAAUAAGAGAGAGAUUUGUUCCACAACACUACUUUAGGGAACUCCAUCAAAGGAUGACACAAGGUGGGAAGAGUGUAGAGGAGUACUAUAAGGCAAUGGAGAUAGCCUUAGCAAGGGCACAAUUAGAUGAACCUCCAGAGGCUACUAUGGCACGUUUCCUAGCUGGUCUUAACAUAGAGAUAGCACAUGUUGUUGAGUUGCACUCUUACACUAAUUUGACUGAGUUAGUGCACAAACCAAAUGUAGAUAAGACUUCUAAGGGUGAGAAAGAAUUUUCUAAGUUUAGGAAAGAAGAGUGGAAGGGGAAAGAAAAGGUAGAAAGUAAAGAUAAGGAGAAGUGGGGUACUGCCACUACUAGGACUAGAGAUGUGAAGUGUUUCAAGUGUUUGGGAUAUGGGCAUUAUGCUUCCCAAUGUUCUAACAAAAUAGUCAUGGGGAUUAGGGAAGAUGGGGAUGUAGAGUGAGGAAGAAAAUGAAUCCGAACCUUUGAUGUUAGUUGAGGGGAAUGAAAAUGAAGAGGAUGUGCACGUUGAAGAGCCAUCCGAUGGGUAUGACUUUGCAUUGGUUACCAUGAGGACCUUGAGUGCUCAACCUAUUGUGGAUAGUGAUGAGUUGCAAAGGGAAAACAUCUUUCAUACUAGGUGUGUGGUGAAGGAGAAAUUGUGUAGCAUGAUUAUAGAUGGGGGUAGUUGUUGCAAUGUGGCUAGUUCCUUACUUGUGGAGAAAUUAGGAUUGCCUACCCUUAAGCAUCCUAAACCUUAUGGGUUACAAUGGCUAAAUGAUUGCAACAAAGUGAAGGUAACUAAGCAAGUAGUGGUACCUUUCACUAUAGGGAGCUACCAUGAUGAGGUCUUAUGUGAUGUAGUGCCCAUGAUAGCUACACAUAUCUUGCUAGGCAGGCCAUUGCAGCAUGAUCGGUAUGUGAUUCAUGAUGGGAGGAAGAAUCACCACACUUUGAAGAAAGAUGACGGCACACCAGCCUUGGUGGCCUUGUCACCAUCACAAGCACAUGAGGACCAAAUGAGAAUAUUGAGGGCUGUUGAGGAGAGAAAAGAGAGUUGGAGAGAAAAAUUAAGAGAGGCCGAGCACAAGAGUGAAGAAAGUAAAGAAAAGAGUGAUGGGAAAGAGAAAAAGAAAGAAGUGAAAGAAAAGAAAGUGAGUGUAAUGGAAAAGGGAGAGGGCUCGGGACAAAAGGAGAGAAGAGAGAAAAAGAUGAGCUUGUAUGUUGGGGGAAGGGAGUUGAGAGGAGCUUUGAGGGGUGGGAUGCCAUUGUGCAUUCUCAUGUAUAGGGAGAAUUAUUUAAAUGUUUCUGACCUUGACCCCAAUCUUCCUUCUUCUGUUGUGUCUCUUUUGCAGGAAUACCAGGAUGUGUUUCCAGAUGAGAUACCUUCGGAUUUACCACCUAUUAGGGGUAUUGAACACCAAAUAGAUUUCAUUCCUGGUGCUCAAAUUCCUAAUAGACCAGCCUAUAGGAGUAGUCCAGCUGAGACUAAGGAGCUUCAAAGAUAGGUAAAUGAGCUUUUGGCUAAGUGACAUGUCCGUGAGAGCAUGAGUCCUUGUGCGGAUCCUGUUUUGCCCGUGCCAAAGAAGGAUGGAACAUAUAGGAUGUGCGUGGAUUGUAGAGCUGUGAAUAAAAUCACUGUAAAGUAUCGCCACCCUAUUCCUAGAUUGGAUGAUUUGUUGGAUGAAUUGCAUGGUUCUUGUUUUUUUAGUAAGAUUGAUUUGAAGAGCGGUUACCAUCAAAUUAGAAUGAGAGUUGGUGAUGAAUGGAAAACUGCCUUCAAAACAAAACAUGGCUUAUAUGAGUGGCUAGUGAUGCCUUUUGGUCUCUCUAAUGCCCCUAGUACUUUCAUGAGGCUUAUGAAUCAUGUUUUGAGAGCUUUUAUUGGACAGUUUGUUGUUGUCUACUUUGAUGAUAUUCUUGUCUAUAGCAAAAACAUUGAUGAUCAUUUGCAUCAUUUGAAACUUGUGUUUGAUGUGUUGAGAAAAGAAAAAUUAUAUGCAAAUGUGAAAAAGUGUUCUUUUUGCUUAGAAAGAAUUGUGUUUUUGGGAUUUGUUGUGAGUAGCAAAGGUGUUGAAGUAGAUGAUGAAAAAGUUAAAGCAAUUAGAGAUUGGCCAACACCUAAAAAUGCAUCUAAAGUUAGGAGUUUUCAUGGAUUAGCAAGUUUUAUCGAAGAUUUGUGCCUAACUUUAGUUCAUUGGCUGCUCCAUUAAAUAAACUUGUCAAAAAAAAUGAGCCAUUUGUUUAGGGUAAAGAACAUAAACAUGCAUUUGCCAUGCUUAAAGGGAAAUGGUGUUCUGCACCGCCAAAACACUAGGUGUCCUUAGGGAGCAUUUCUUUUGACCCCACAUGAGAAAAGAUGUUGCGAGACUGUGCUAGAUGUGAGCCUUGCAAGAAAGCAAAGUCUAAAGUGAUGCCUCAUGGGCUAUACACACCUUUACCUGUGCCUAAGCAUCCUUGGGUUGAUUUGUCCAUGGACUUUGUCUUGGGAUUGCCUAGGUCACAAAGGGGUCAUGAUUCAAUUUUUGUGGUAGUGGAUAGGUUUUCUAAAAUGACUCAUUUCAUACUAUGCAAGAAAUGCGAUGAUGCAUCCUACGUAGCUAAUCUGUUCUUUAGGGAAGUAGUGCGUUUGCAUGGCAUUCCUAGGACCAUAGCUAGUGAUAGGGAUGUAAAAUUCUUGAGUCACUUUUGGAAGGUGUUGUGGGGGAAAUUAGGGACCAAGUUGUUGUUCUCUACCACUUGCCAUCCUUAGACAGAUAUCCAAACUGAAGUGGUAAAUAAAACCUUGUCUACACUACUUAGAGCUAUGGUUAAGCAAAACUUAAAAUCAUAGGAAGAUUGUAUAACAUUCAUUGAGUUUGCAUAUAAUAGAGUAGUGCAUUCUUCUAGUGGUUUUUCUCCAUUUGAGCUAGCGUAUGGUUUUAACUCUCUCACACCUUUGGAUUUGUUGCCCUUGCCAUUGAAUGAGAUUGCUAGCGUAGAUGGAGCCAAGAAAGCUGAAUUGGUCAAGAAGCUCCAUGAGCAAGCUAAAAGCAAGAUUGAAGCCCAAAAUGCAAAGUAUGCUUCAAGAGCUAACAAGGGCCGAAAGGCAAUUUCUUUGAAAAGGGGAAUCUUGUGUGGGUGCACUUGAGAAAAGAGAGGUUUCCUAAGCAUAGGAAAUCCAAAUUGCAACCAAGAAGUGAUGGACCCUUUAGAGUAAAAGAAAAGAUUGGAAACAAUGCCUACAAGAUUGACCUUCAAUAUAAGUAUGGUACCAUAAGUAAUACUUUUAAUGUUUCUGAUUUAUCUCCUUUCCAUGAUGCAGGUUCAAAUUGGAGGAUGAAUUCUCCUCAAGAAGGAGGAGAUGAUGAGGACAUCAUAGUGGAUCUAGAGGUACCUCAAUUCAAGGGAGCCAUUACAAGAUCAAGAGCUAAGGCAAUCCAAGCCAUGGUGUUGGAGUAUUCAACCAUGGGGUCCCAACUCAAGGGGAAAGCUUGAUCAUCAUGCAAAUUCACCUCCAAGAAGCUUCAAGAGCAUCUGAGGGCAUUGGAAACCAUUUUGGAGAUUGCCAAGUGGGUUGCUACGUGGUAACCACAUAGUUGUUGACAUGGCGGACCAAGGGUGAUGUGGCAGCCGCAUGGGAUGGUGAUUUGGCAAGGGGAGGCACUUGGGUAGAUGCUUACCAACCACUUCUAGCACAUACUUUACCCAUUUGGCAAGAGAGGGGUGGAGGAAGACAUUAUCCAACUUUUGGCAAAUAAAGGAAAAACACUUUAACCAUUUCUGGCCAAACCACCUGAUGGAGAAUUGAUGUGAUUGACUUCAGAAUACAGGAUUUUCUUUUGUGGAUUAUUAAUUUGAACAUUUAUGGUAUGUAACUAAGUAUUAAUCAGACUAUGCAUAGACCAUUAGGCUUUGUUGUGCUUUGGCUGAAUGGGUAUUUAUCACCCAUCUUCUUCUUUUUUUGUUUCAGACUUAGAAUUCAGAUUUUAGAGAGAACAAGAACAUCAUUGCUGGUGCUUGUAGGCUUUGGCCAAACUCAUUUUGUUGAGGUAUUUUAUGUUUUUUGCUAAGUUCCACAAAGAACUUAGAUUAAUUGCAAGCUGGUCACUUGUAAUAUCUUAGGUUUAUACUUGAGAAACUCCAACACAAGUUGUUUUUGUGUUUCAAGUGCCAUUGACUCUUGUAAUAUGUCUGGUUGAGUAAUAUAUUCAAGUUUUCUUUUCGUCAAAUUAGUGUUGUGGUGUAUUUAGUGAGGUUUAUGAGUGUUCGAGUUGUUGUGGAAUAAAUCUUGGUUGCUGAAAAAGAUCUUACAUGCUAACCGAAAAUCCCAGCCAUUUUUUCUCCAUUUGGUCAAGUCCAUAUCAAGUGGUAUCAAAGCUUUUGGCUUUCUCAACCAAGUAAGUUGACUAAUUUAAGUGUCUUCUUCUUAAUUUCUAGUGUUUCCUUUGAGUUGGUGCUAGAAAGGGUGAAGCUUUCUUGAAGGCAGAACCUGAACUAGCUUGUCCUUGAGUUUUUGUUGAAGUUCUUUUGCUAAAACUCUAUUCUUGUAUCUUUGUGUUGUUGUUGUGAGUUAGUGCCUGCCAUUUUCCUUGUUGUUGCUUGGUUCUUUGUUGUCCUAACAAAAACUCCUAAAAAACUCUAAGAACCAAAAUUUCAGUUUUAAGCUGAUUGUGGUUGAAAUAUUAUCCUUUGGUUCUUAGUGUUUUUAAGUGUCUAAAAUACUUUUAUCACAUUUUUGCUUGUUGUUUGUUGAGUACUCCUUCUGCCAUAGCUAAUUCUUAACUUAUUUGCCUCUUUAGUAUUAAAACUGAAUUUGUAUGUUGUUGGUGGAAAAGAUGUUGCUGGAACUUGGAAGUGAGAACUUGUGACAAACUUUGCUUUUGGAAAACUUUGAUCUUGAGAAAUUUGUGGAGUCAUUUUUUGUACAAGAGCUGAUUUGUGAAUUUGAACAAAAUACCUUGUUAUAUUUUGCGUUGGCAUCAAAAGAACAAAAGAAAGUGAAACACUUGAAUUAGGAGCACUAAACAACUCCUGAUUGCAAAAUUAGUGUUG
This 7157-nucleotide unclassified non-coding RNA is filed under the name Hevea brasiliensis (rubber tree). The record is from RNAcentral. Lineage: Eukaryota; Viridiplantae; Streptophyta; Magnoliopsida; Malpighiales; Euphorbiaceae.